RNAcentral lists this ribosomal RNA (506 nucleotides) under uncultured bacterium. RNAcentral describes it as "bacterial SSU rRNA". It matches the Rfam family "Bacterial small subunit ribosomal RNA", at positions 772 to 1283 of the family's 1533-position model. The record is from RNAcentral.
ACUAAAUAGAUACCCAGGUAGUCCACGCUGUAAACGAUGAGUGCUAGAUGCCGGAUUUUUUCGGUGUCGCAGCUAAACGCAUUAAGCACUCCACCUGGGAAGUACGAUCGCAAGGUUGAAACUCAAAGGAAUUGACGGGGGCCCGGCACAAGCAGUGGAGCAUGUGGUUUAAUUCGAUGCAACGCGAAGAACCUUACCUAGGCUUGAAAAGCUUAUGACCGGCUGUGAAAGCAGCUUUCCCGCAAGGGCAUAAGUACAGGUGCUGCAUGGCUGUCGUCAGCUCGUGCCGUGAGGUGUUGGGUUAAGUCCCGCAACGAGCGCAACCCUUACCAUUAGUUGCCACCGGAGCAAUCCGAGCACUCUAAUGGAACUGCCUACGCAAGUAGUGAGGAAGGUGAGGAUGACGUCAAGUCCGCAUGGCCCUUACGCCUAGGGCUACACACGUGCUACAAUGGCCGCCACAACGGGCAGCAAAAUCGCGAGAUGGAGCGAAUCCCUAAAAACGC